Molecule: transfer RNA, 73 nt
Filed under: Planctomycetales bacterium 10988
Lineage: Bacteria; Pseudomonadati; Planctomycetota; Planctomycetia; Planctomycetales
Rfam family: tRNA
About the family: Transfer RNA (tRNA) molecules are approximately 80 nucleotides in length. Their secondary structure includes four short double-helical elements and three loops (D, anti-codon, and T loops).
Source: Rfam by way of RNAcentral
GGGCGAUUAGCUCAGUUGGAAGAGCGCUACCCUUACAAGGUAGAUGUCGUAGGUUCGAGCCCUACAUCGCCCA